This 497-nucleotide ribosomal RNA is filed under the name uncultured bacterium. RNAcentral's name for it is "partial 16S ribosomal RNA". It matches the Rfam family "Bacterial small subunit ribosomal RNA", at positions 28 to 507 of the family's 1533-position model. The record is from RNAcentral.
GAUGAACGCUGGCGGCGUGCCUAAUACAUGCAAGUCGAGCGAACAGACGAGGAGCUUGCUCCUCUGACGUUAGCGGCGGACGGGUGAGUAACACGUGGAUAACCUACCUAUAAGACUGGGAUAACUUCGGGAAACCGGCGCUAAUACCGGAUAAUAUAUUGAACCGCAUGGUUCAAUAGUGAAAGACGGUUUUGCUGUCACUUAUAGAUGGAUCCGCGCCGCAUUAGCUAGUUGGUAAGGUAACGGCUUACCAAGGCGACGAGGCGUAGCCGACCUGAGAGAGUGAUCGGCCACACUGGAGCGGAGACACGGUCCAGACUCCUACGGGAGGCAGCAGUAGGGAAUCUUCCGCAAUGGGCGAAAGCCUGACGGAGCAACGCCGCGUGAGUGAUGAAGGUCUUCGGAUCGUAAAACUCUGUUAUUAGGGAAGAACAAAUGUGUAAGUAACUAUGCACGUCUUGACGGUACCUAAUCAGAAAGCCACGGCUAACUACGUG